This 490-nucleotide ribosomal RNA is filed under the name uncultured bacterium. RNAcentral describes it as "partial 16S ribosomal RNA". It matches the Rfam family "Bacterial small subunit ribosomal RNA", at positions 30 to 507 of the family's 1533-position model. The record is from RNAcentral.
AUUGAACGCUGGCGGCAGGCCUAACACAUGCAAGUCGAACGGUAACAGGAAGAAGCUUGCUUCUUUGCUGACGAGUGGCGGACGGGUGAGUAAUGUCUGGGAAACUGCCUGAUGGAGGGGGAUAACUACUGGAAACGGUAGCUAAUACCGCAUAACGUCGCAAGACCAAAGAGGGGGACCUUCGAGCCUCUUGCCAUCGGAUGUUCCCAGAUGGGAUUAGCUAGUAGGUGGGGUAACGGCUCACCUAGGCGACGAUCCCUAGCUGGUCUGAGAGGAUGACCAGCCACACUGGAACUGAGACACGGUCCAGACUCCUACGGGAGGCAGCAGUGGGGAAUAUUGCACAAUGGGCGCAAGCCUGAUGCAGCCAUGCCGCGUGUAUGAAGAAGGCCUUCGGGUUGUAAAGUACUUUCAGCGGGGAGGAAGGGAGUAAAGUUAAUACCUUUGCUCAUUGACGUUACCCGCAGAAGAAGCACCGGCUAACUCCGUG